Molecule: unclassified non-coding RNA, 333 nt
Filed under: soil metagenome
Description: partial contains 5.8S ribosomal RNA, internal transcribed spacer 2, and large subunit ribosomal RNA
Rfam family: 5.8S ribosomal RNA (bases 1-120)
Source: RNAcentral
GAUGAAGAACGUAGCGAAAUGCGAUAAGUAGUGUGAAUUGCAGAAUUCAGUGAAUCAUCGAAUCUUUGAACGCACAUUGCGCCCCUUGGUAUUCCAUGGGGCAUGCCUGUUCGAGCGUCAUUUGUACCUUCAAGCUUUGCUUGGUGUUGGGUGUUUGUCCAUUCUCUUGCAGAGGGACUAGCCUUAAAGUAAUUGGCAGCCAGUGUUUUGGUUUUGAAGCGCAGCACAAGUCGCGAUUCAAAGCUAUACGCCCGCUUCCACAAGCCUUCUUCACUUUUGACCUCGGAUCAGGUAGGGAUACCCGCUGAACUUAAGCAUAUCAAAAGCGGAGGA